Molecule: small nucleolar RNA, 84 nt
Filed under: Oryza punctata
Lineage: Eukaryota; Viridiplantae; Streptophyta; Magnoliopsida; Poales; Poaceae
Description: snoRNA SNORD24
Rfam family: Small nucleolar RNA SNORD24
About the family: U24 is a member of the C/D class of snoRNA which contain the C (UGAUGA) and D (CUGA) box motifs. C/D box snoRNAs have been shown to act as methylation guides for a number of RNA targets. U24 is encoded within an intron of the gene for ribosomal protein L7a in mammals, chicken and Fugu.
Source: Rfam by way of RNAcentral
GGCCUGUGAUGUAAGCUAAAAUAUUUGCUACUCUUGAUGGGGAUUCCCAGUUGAUGAUCUCAUACCACCAAGAUCUCUGAGGCC